AACGCAUAUUGCGCUCGAGGCUUCGGCCAAGAGCAUGUCUGCCUCAGCGUCGGGUUAAUAUCACCAUCUAACUACUAUGUGGUUAGCUAUUGGUGGAUCUGGCUGUUCCAGCGAAAGGCGGUGGCUAAUCGAUUCAUCGAAUAGCUUGCCAGUAGUCCUGCUGGAUCAGCUGAAGUUCAGAGGCUAACUAAGGACCCGUAUAUAUGGGCCGCAACUGGGUAGGUGAUAUAACCCCUUUUGUGGGCUAUUCACACACGCUUAGUUGUUGGUCUGGGGACUUAUUCGUUCGGCCCUCAACCAGGAAACUUAACCCAAUACUUAUUAUCUCGACCUGAGCUCAGGCAAGAACACCCGCUGAACUUAA
This 364-nucleotide unclassified non-coding RNA is filed under the name uncultured fungus. RNAcentral's name for it is "partial contains 5.8S ribosomal RNA, internal transcribed spacer 2, and large subunit ribosomal RNA". The record is from RNAcentral. Lineage: Eukaryota; Fungi.